RNAcentral lists this unclassified non-coding RNA (374 nucleotides) under uncultured Microbacteriaceae bacterium. Its description in RNAcentral is "contains 16S-23S intergenic spacer region". Lineage: Bacteria; Bacillati; Actinomycetota; Actinomycetes; Micrococcales; Microbacteriaceae. The record is from RNAcentral.
UCCGAGUUGACCCCGGCAGUCUCCUAUGAGUUCCCACCAUUACGUGCUGGCAACAUAGAACGAGGGUUGCGCUCGUUGCGGGACUUAACCCAACAUCUCACGACACGAGCUGACGACAACCAUGCACCACCUGUAUACCGACCUUGCGGGGCCUACAUUUCUGCAGGUUUCCAGUACAUGUCAAGCCUUGGUAAGGUUCUUCGCGUUGCAUCGAAUUAAUCCGCAUGCUCCGCCGCUUGUGCGGGCCCCCGUCAAUUCCUUUGAGUUUUAACCUUGCGGCCGUACUCCCCAGGCGGGGUGCUUAAUGCGUUGGCUACGACACCGAAGGGCAAGCCCCCCGACAUCUAGCACCCAUCGUUUACGGCGUGGACUAC